This 242-nucleotide ribosomal RNA is filed under the name uncultured bacterium. RNAcentral's name for it is "partial 16S ribosomal RNA". It matches the Rfam family "Bacterial small subunit ribosomal RNA", at positions 103 to 334 of the family's 1533-position model. The record is from RNAcentral.
CGGGCGGGGCGGGUGGAAGUAAGUGUCGGUAAGGAAGUCGUCCGAUGGAGGGGGGUAACUACUGGAAACGGUAGCUAAUACCGCAUAACGUCGCAAGACCAAAGAGGGGACCUUCGGGCCUCUUGCCAUCGGAUGUGCCCAGAUGGGAUUAGCUAGUAGGUGGGGUAACGGCUCACCUAGGCGACGAUCCCUAGCUGGUCUGAGAGGAUGACCAGCCACACUGGAACUGAGACACGGUCCAG